AGUUCAGAUUGCAGGCUGCAACCCGCCUGCAUGAAGUCGGAAUUGCUAGUAAUCGCGGAUCAGCAUGCCGCGGUGAAUACGUUCCCGGGCCUUGUACACACCGCCCGUCGCACCAUGGGAGCCGGUAAUACCCGAAGUCAGUAGUCCAACCUCGUGAGGACGCUGCCGAAGGUAGGAUUGGCGACUGGGGUGAAGUCGUAACAAGGUAAC
This 210-nucleotide ribosomal RNA is filed under the name uncultured bacterium. Its description in RNAcentral is "partial 16S ribosomal RNA". It matches the Rfam family "Bacterial small subunit ribosomal RNA", at positions 1290 to 1500 of the family's 1533-position model. The record is from RNAcentral.